AUUGAACGCUGGCGGCAGGCCUAACACAUGCAAGUCGAGCGGCAGAACGGAGCUUGCUCCUGGAUUCAGCGGCGGACGGGUGAGUAAUGCCUAGGAAUCUGCCUGGUAGUGGGGGAUAACGUCCGGAAACGGGCGCUAAUACCGCAUACGUCCUGAGGGUGAAAGUGGGGGAUCUUCGGACCUCACGCUAUCAGAUGAGCCUAGGUCGGAUUAGCUAGUUGGUGGGGUAAAGGCCUACCAAGGCGACGAUCCGUAGCUGGUCUGAGAGGAUGAUCAGCCACACUGGAACUGAGACACGGUCCAGACUCCUACGGGAGGCAGCAGUGGGGAAUAUUGGACAAUGGGCGCAAGCCUGAUCCAGCCAUGCCGCGUGUGUGAAGAAGGUCUUCGGAUUGUAAAGCACUUUUGUUUGGGAGGAAGGGCAGUAAGUUAAUACCUUGCUGUUUUGACGUUACCCACAGAAUAAGCACCGGCUAACUUCGUG
Molecule: ribosomal RNA, 484 nt
Filed under: uncultured bacterium
Lineage: Bacteria
Description: partial 16S ribosomal RNA
Rfam family: Bacterial small subunit ribosomal RNA
Source: RNAcentral